AGUCCAACUAACUAAAUAACUUUGAACGCAUGCCAUCUGUCUAAAAUAUUUCUGAAACUAUACUGUUUGGCAAAUUUUACCUAGAAAAGAUAGAAAGAAGAGAGAUGAGAGACCUCUGCCGGCAGAGAAGAGAGAGGAGAGACCUCAGCCACUGCAAAGCUUCUCCCCGCUGUCUCGCCAACCUUGUACCGGCGGCACCGUGGUGGUUCCGCCGCACCGUUCAAUGCCCAGCACAUGGUUAUGGCUAGCAAUGGAUAGCAUUAUUCAAGAGAGAUGGUAGCAAAAGUAUCCAGGUCCCCUUGAAUAUGGAAGUAGUAUGUGUGUCUGCUUUACUAGGUUAUGGCUAGCAAUGGACUCUGGGAUGUUGUAAGCAAUACAGAUGUUGUAAACAUAAAUAGGGACACCAUCAAACAGCCCGGAAUGUGUGCUAAAAGAUUGGCGACAGAAGCUGCAGAACGAUGCAACAAAGAUAACAUCACAGUAAUUAUUGUUUUCCUGUGUCCAGUGUCUACUGCUGAGAGGAGACAUUCCUAAGUUGUUACUAUUGCAAAGCAUAAGAGGAUUUUGUUUAAGUCUGAGUGUUAAUGUUGGAAGUCACUUACAGAGACUAUAUAUGUAUGAGUACUAAAAAAAUGGUUUGUGAUAUAAUAAGAAUGGAACUAGUAUUCUGCUUC
Molecule: long non-coding RNA, 674 nt
Organism: Quercus robur (English oak)
Lineage: Eukaryota; Viridiplantae; Streptophyta; Magnoliopsida; Fagales; Fagaceae
Exons: 2
Source: RefSeq, a predicted model, not a curated record